RNAcentral lists this ribosomal RNA (91 nucleotides) under Streptomyces sp. SID8499. Its description in RNAcentral is "partial 16S ribosomal RNA". It matches the Rfam family "Bacterial small subunit ribosomal RNA", at positions 1 to 92 of the family's 1533-position model. The record is from RNAcentral. Lineage: Bacteria; Bacillati; Actinomycetota; Actinomycetes; Kitasatosporales; Streptomycetaceae.
CAUUCACGGAGAGUUUGAUCCUGGCUCAGGACGAACGCUGGCGGCGUGCUUAACACAUGCAAGUCGAACGAUGAACCACUUCGGUGGGGAU